Molecule: long non-coding RNA, 282 nt
Filed under: Homo sapiens (human)
Lineage: Eukaryota; Metazoa; Chordata; Mammalia; Primates; Hominidae
Description: non-protein coding lnc-B4GALT5-2:1
Source: RNAcentral
GCAGUUCCCCAGGAAACAGCUUCCGGCAGACACUCAAUCUCCAGUUGUAACAGGUGGUGUGGAGUCCGCUGUCCCAGGGAGUGGGCUCAAGGCCUAGUCCUGCCAAUGAACUUGCUGUAGAAACUUUUCUGUCUAUCAAAUGAGGUUGGAAUGCACUGGUGCAAUAAUUGCUCACUGCAGCCAUGACCUCCCAUGCUCAAGCAAUCCUCCCACCUCAGCCUCCCACGUAGCUGGGACUACAGGCAUCUUGGAGAGAGGUAUCACCUCAGAGCUGGAGAAAUG